GUGCCUUGAUGAGGGCACUUUCAUAGUAACUCCUUGAGCAGCUCCCAUGCCCCAUAUAAAGAUUCUUCAUCAAGUUGUUGAAAUGAAGUGAUUUCAUUUCGGAUCUU
Molecule: non-coding RNA, 107 nt
Organism: Gossypium hirsutum (cotton)
Lineage: Eukaryota; Viridiplantae; Streptophyta; Magnoliopsida; Malvales; Malvaceae
Source: Rfam